Molecule: non-coding RNA, 1372 nt
Organism: Paramuricea clavata
Lineage: Eukaryota; Metazoa; Cnidaria; Anthozoa; Malacalcyonacea; Plexauridae
Source: the annotation of a GenBank genome assembly
CUAAAAUUCUAUUUUUUAUUUGCAAGGUCAUUCAUGUUAUUGUGGAAAAUUGAAUAAAAUUUAACUGCAUUCUAUUUUAUAGAGGAACUUCGAACAGAGAUUGGAAGCUUUAAAGAAACGACAGGAAGCUUUGGUGAGACAACAGGAAUGUUAUAUUUAUUAAUGAGGAAAAAUAUUGUUAAUUGUUUUUCGUUGAUAAAUUUGAGUCGUUUUCUAAUAUGUCGGGCGGUCAUAUCAAAGGAUAUGUGUAUUGGCAACGGAGUGUUUAUUCGUUUUACACUUCGUCGUAUGUUGAAUAUGUAGCGCUAUUUGUUUGACACAAGUAUUGCCCUCCAUCCUAUGAACAUCCUAAAUGCUGAUCUGGUACUGUAGUUGACAAGUUACAAAUACAAUAAAAUAAUCAUUGUUCUAUAAUCAUGAAUUGAAAGGAAAACGCUGUUGAGUGUCUCACGGCUCAAUUUUGGAUCAGUUUUGUUCAUAUUGUAUAAUGAAACCGAAAAAUUUAACAAUGCGCACAGGCACACUGACACACAAACUCAGAUGACAAAAUAAUCUCCUGACGGUGUUGAUACUGAGGGUGCAACGUUCAGGUUUAUUUAAUGUUGAAAUAGUGUGAAUGCUGUACUGCAUAUUCACACACAUGUACAUGUAGGGGCAUUUAUACGAGAGAGAAUAAGUCGCGAUUUAUUGAUUACAUUAAUGGUGAAAUUCGCCACUUUGUAGAGUUGGUCGUAACUUAAAUGAGAACAGGGGUUCUGAUUGGCCCACAAUAAGUCACAACUUAUUAGAAUUUUACCAUUUAUACAAGUGUUUUCGCGUUUUAUAUAAGACGCGACUUAUGCUCCCCGUAUAAAUGAUGCACGACAGCCUGUUGAAUUUCCACGACACCCUGUAGACCGCCCCCUCCAAACAGCCGCCUACUUUAUCGGAACAGACACCUACUCAGAAUAAUUCUGAAAGCCCUGUGGGUUAUUAGUAUUUUGAGGAAAGUUUCGGGUCGGAGUGUUAUGUUCUUUGAAUUACGAAUUUUCCAGCCCCCCUCCAUGCUUUAUGACUAGUCCCCAUAGCUUCGUUGAAUCUACGCCAAACAAAAUAUAUGUUAUUUGAAACUAGACAGAAAUUACUUCUAAGUUUGUUAUUGAUAAUCAGCAAAUAAAUAAGUGCCAUGUUAUUUCAAACUUCGAAUUGAUAAACCUAUUUUUUUAAUUUCAUGGAAAAAUUACUUUUUCUGGUAUGUUUGUUUGAGUCCUUAGUCGCCAAAUUCAGUCAUGCAUAUAAAUAUACAAGUAUUAUAAAUUCAAAAUAAAUUUAAAUUCAAAAUAAGUUUAAAUUCAAAAUAAGCUUUUUUAGAAUCCGUCGGCGCACUAAUAUU